Long non-coding RNA from Gorilla gorilla gorilla (western lowland gorilla), 443 nucleotides. RefSeq lists it as uncharacterized. The transcript is spliced from 3 exons. NCBI's taxonomy places the organism in Eukaryota, Metazoa, Chordata, Mammalia, Primates, Hominidae. The record is from RefSeq and is a predicted model, not a curated record.
CGCAGAACGUAGCCGGACCCAAGGGUUUAUUUACCACAUUGGCUGGUGUGUCCGUCUGCUGUGCAACCACAUUUAUCUCCGGUGAGAUAAACCCCAUUUAUCUCCUAGCAAGUCCCUGGCGCACAGUGAGCUCUGAUAAAAAGCAGCCCAUCUACCUCCUCCAACCAGACCCAGCUAGCCCAGAUGCGUAAUUCUCCAUGACUUGUAACACCUCAAUACCUUUGUAUCUGCUGUUCCAUCUACCUGGAGAGCCUUUCCAGGGAGCUAGAGGAGGGAGAGAUUCCUAUGAACUGAAAAGGGAGGAUACUGGGAUGAGGAUGCUUGUAAUGUGGUGCACACUGAUUACCAGAGCACAGCUGAGAUACUGUUGGGCCCUGUCUCCUCCCAAAGCACACAUUACAUCCCAGGGUGCACACCAGUAAAUGGUCAGAUUCUGGACAUGG